Molecule: ribosomal RNA, 253 nt
Filed under: uncultured bacterium
Lineage: Bacteria
Description: partial 16S ribosomal RNA
Rfam family: Bacterial small subunit ribosomal RNA
Source: RNAcentral
UACGGGGGGGGCAAGCGUUGUUCGGAAUUACUGGGCGUAAAGGGCGCGUAGGCGGCCUUCUAAGUCAGACGUGAAAUCCCUCGGCUCAACCGAGGAACUGCGUCUGAUACUGGAAGGCUUGAAUCCGGGAGAGGGAUGUGGAAUUCCAGGUGUAGCGGUGAAAUGCGUAGAUAUCUGGAGGAACACCGGUGGCGAAGGCGGCAUCCUGGACAGUGACUGACGCUGAGACGCGAAAGCGUGGGGAGCAAAUAGG